GAAGGAAGGAAGGAAGGAAGGAAGGAAGGAAGGAAGGAAGGAAGAAAGGAUUGGUGAUUUCCAUGGAAUUCCCUUCAGACUCAGUAAAGACCUGAGCGUGGUGGAUUUCAGAAAGAAUGAGUCUGCAGCUUGGAGCUCUCCUGCAAGCUUUCACUGCUCUGCUGGCCAAGUCACCGCAACAUCGGCAUCUCCCAACUGCAGGAUCCUCCUCUUCCCAGUGCCCACACAGAUCUGCCUAAUGCCCAACUCCUCACCUCAAAAUAAAAUCCACAGGUCAAAUUCUUUCCAGCCAGGAAGCCCCAUUUUCUCAAAGCAGGAGUCUUCUAUGGGAAUGCUCUGCCUCUGUUAG
This 349-nucleotide long non-coding RNA is filed under the name Phasianus colchicus (ring-necked pheasant). RNAcentral describes it as "lncRNA (ENSPCLG00000000573.1)". Lineage: Eukaryota; Metazoa; Chordata; Aves; Galliformes; Phasianidae. The record is from RNAcentral.